UUGGGGGAAAAAACAGUAACGGCAAGCCCAAAUCGUGGCCAGCAGCUCGUAGAAGGUAUUUCGGUGUCAACAGAAACUGCCACUGAUAGGUCAAGACAGAAACUGCUGCUGAUAUUCUGCCACACUUCAAAGUCAACUUCAUUAGUUGUUACAAAGAUUAAAGGCAGUGGCUUUGCUGCCACAUUGUUUUUAUUUAAAUCUGCAGUCCUCAUCCACACCAGCUGGGGGCGAUAAUGAGUGUUGUUCGAUUGUUGUUUUUUAACAAGAAGAAGAAGAAAAUGAAUCUGUAACCCGGAAGUUAAGCUUCACAACAAAAAAAUUGCCGGGUAAUCUUCUCCGUGAAACCAUAUCAAGCAGCCAAUGGACUUUUUAUUUCAUUUGAGUAAAUAGUGCGUUUGUCUUGAGACUUGUGUUGAACCACAGUGUGUCUCAACGUGGGUUUAACAUGGACGAAUAUGACGAACUGUUCGAGAUCCAGGAUGAGUUCGAGGACCAGUUCGCGGACGAGCUGGAGGUUCUGGCUCAGAUGGAGGGGGAGUCCCCAACAGACUUAAACUUUAUUUCUCAUUAACUCGUUUUAGCUUCUUUGUGCACAUCCUCAGCAGUUAACAAUCAAUACACAACUGAGCAGCUGUUCAUCUUAGGUGGACUUUGAGCUGGAGUCUCUGAUGGAGAGGAAGGAGGAGGAGCGGGAGGAGCUGAUGGACUGGUGGAAGAUGAUGUCAGAGACACUGAACUUCUGAAGCUCUCGUCUGCUUCGCGAUUGGACCGUUCACACGUCGAGUAUACUGUUGGCCAUAUCUCCAGCAACACAGCAAAGGGCAGACACACAGAGACUGAGGACACAUAAACGAAGGGGAGACAAGGAUCAAGCAGAGCUGGGCCACCCCACCGGAAAAGGUUUAGUUCCGUACAAUUUAAGGUUAAGGUUAAUUAAUUUAUGUUUGUGUAAAUAAAACAAUUUUGAAAAGGGAUUGGUUCGUGUGUGGCUGUUGUUGGGAGAACACAGAGGGAACGUCCCCUGCAAGAGACAAAUAACUCCGGGCUCUAGGGUUGAGUGGGUGGAUAGCGCCACAUUAAACAAAGAAACAUCAAUUACAAUCAAGAUAUGAUUGGAAAAAACGAAUAUGAAACAAGGUUUUUCAUCAGUAUUGACGUUUAUUUAUUGAACUUAAUCAGAAAUUGAACACAGUCAUAUGUCAGUCUACACACGAGCCCCAAUGAACAGAUACAGUAUCUAGAGAUGAUUUUUGAAGAGAGAAAAUCUUUGGAAGACAAUGCAGGGGAAGAGUUUAGAGAAUAUAGAGAUCAUGUUUCUGUCAAUUCAGAGUCUGACAGUGAGUUUGGGUUAGAAGAGGAUGAGAUUGACCAUAAGCCAGCUAUGUAAAAAGUUAUUCUGCAGCCAGUCCCAAAUCCAGGCCAGGCCAUCAGCAGCCAACAUAUGGAUGACAAAAAAUUAUGACAAUUUAAUGGUCUUUUUGCACUUUAGCCACCCCACAUGUCUACCAAUGUAAUAAUGUGCAAUCAGGGCCGACACAGAUAGCAGUGACUCAUGUGCAGGACAUCAAGCCUUCUUACGAACUUUCAUUACGAAAAUCAUUCUGGAUUGCACUAAUUUGGAGGGACAGCAUGUUUUCGUAGAAAGCUAGAAUGAGAUGGACCAAACCCAUUUAUUUGCAUACUUUGGGGUUAUUAUCCGUGCAGGAGUUUUCAAAUCCAAAGGGGAAUCAACAGAAUCCUUGUGGGAUGCAGUAACUGGCAGAGAACUUUUACGUAAAUGUGCAAGAAUGUGGGAGCAGAGGUGAUUGACAUAUACAAUUUAACACUUUAUGUAGUAGUCCUGGGUCCAGAGGACCCGAACAUCACAUAUGUAAUAUAAAUGUGUAGGGGGGGGGGGGGUGUAAAGUGUAAAGUCACUAAAUAUAUGUUCCUUUAUAUGUUCAUCACAGAAAAUGAGCCAAGGCCAAUGAGUCUCAGGUUGAAAAAAUAUUUAUUGCAUCAUUUUCCUCUUAGCAAACAUUGAAAACGGGUCCCACAGACCCGAACACCAUACAAGGGUUAAAGCAUUAAACUCCUCAGGUCAGAAAGAGCUACAUCUUCCACGCCCACCUUCUCCUGGUACGCAAACUGC
Pleuronectes platessa (European plaice) is the source of this 2131-nucleotide long non-coding RNA. RefSeq lists it as uncharacterized. The transcript is spliced from 3 exons. NCBI's taxonomy places the organism in Eukaryota, Metazoa, Chordata, Actinopteri, Pleuronectiformes, Pleuronectidae. The record is from RefSeq and is a predicted model, not a curated record.